RNAcentral lists this ribosomal RNA (496 nucleotides) under uncultured bacterium. RNAcentral's name for it is "partial 16S ribosomal RNA". It matches the Rfam family "Bacterial small subunit ribosomal RNA", at positions 29 to 507 of the family's 1533-position model. The record is from RNAcentral.
AUGAACGCUGGCGGCGUGCCUAAUACAUGCAAGUCGAGCGAACAGACGAGGAGCUUGCUCCUCUGACGUUAGCGGCGGACGGGUGAGCAACACGUGGAUAACCUACCUAUAAGACUGGGAUAACUUCGGGAAACCGGAGCUAAUACCGGAUAAUAUAUUGAACCGCAUGGUUCAAUAGUGAAAGACGGUUUUGCUGUCACUUAUAGAUGGAUCCGCGCCGCAUUAGCUAGUUGGUAAGGUAACGGCUUACCAAGGCAACGAUGCGUAGCCGACCUGAGAGGGUGAUCGGCCACACUGGAACUGAGACACGGUCCAGACUCCUACGGGAGGCAGCAGUAGGGAAUCUUCCGCAAUGGGCGAAAGCCUGACGGAGCAACGCCGCGUGAGUGAUGAAGGUCUUCGGAUCGUAAAACUCUGUUAUUAGGGAAGAACAAAUGUGUAAGUAACUAUGCACGUCUUGACGGUACCUAAUCAGAAAGCCACGGCUAACUACGUG